UUACGUUACAAGGGUGUUGGCUGCUAGGCUCCCAACCGAAGCGGUUUAGCCUCUUAUUGCCAUGAUAGACUUUACACAUUAUGGGAUAAUGUGGAUGGAAGAAGGAAAAGGAUGGAUAAAGGAAGAGGGGAGAAUGGCUAGAGAGAGAGGGAUUUCCCCUAAGAGAGAUGCUUAGGCUUGGGUGUAUUCAAUAGAGAACUCUGAGCCUCGAUGUGUC
This 217-nucleotide long non-coding RNA is filed under the name Glycine max (soybean). RNAcentral describes it as "long non-coding RNA (GMAX_LNC004323)". Lineage: Eukaryota; Viridiplantae; Streptophyta; Magnoliopsida; Fabales; Fabaceae. The record is from RNAcentral.